UGACCUCGGAUCAGGUAGGCAUACCCGCUGAACUAAAGCAUAU
Molecule: ribosomal RNA, 43 nt
Filed under: Tuber fulgens
Lineage: Eukaryota; Fungi; Ascomycota; Pezizomycetes; Pezizales; Tuberaceae
Description: partial 28S ribosomal RNA
Source: RNAcentral